Molecule: non-coding RNA, 497 nt
Organism: Hydra vulgaris (swiftwater hydra)
Lineage: Eukaryota; Metazoa; Cnidaria; Hydrozoa; Anthoathecata; Hydridae
Source: RefSeq, a predicted model, not a curated record
AAUAAUAAAUAUCAGUUGUUAUAAAUAUAAGAUAUUUUUUUGUAUAUUCAAUGACAAAAACGUUUUUUUUUUUUUUAAUUUAAAAAUAGUCAGCGAUCAAAGUAUUUAUAAAUAAAGGAAGGAGGUUUUUAGGACGUAUAAUAGACUUUUCUUAACCAAUAUUUGCUUCAUUGUUCAAUAUUUAGAACAGUUUGUUAAAUUUAAUAAUAAUUUUAAAAAGUUCACAGGUGAAAUCACCGAAACAUAAUCGAUCAAGAAUGUUUACACGAUGGACGCAGAAAUUUUCGGUGAACUUUUACAUAUGACCCUUUUGAGCAUUGCGAAAACUACAAACUUAUGUAGGCUUGUGCUUAUGUUUCGAAAAAACAUUUAAAAUGAAUUACGAUGAUUGGGAGUCUGGGAACAAAAGCAAUCAAAGCUUGAAGCCUCAACUCAAAAUUGUUCAAAAAAUAUGACUAAAACUUAGAUCCCCCUCAUUUUGAAAAGGGUAAAUAAAU